Molecule: transfer RNA, 87 nt
Filed under: Candidatus Roizmanbacteria bacterium
Lineage: Bacteria; Candidatus Roizmaniibacteriota
Description: tRNA-Ser
Rfam family: tRNA
About the family: Transfer RNA (tRNA) molecules are approximately 80 nucleotides in length.
Source: RNAcentral
GGAGACGUCGCAUAGUGGACGAGUGCGCCUGUCUUGAAAACAGGUAGAGCUGCAAAGCUCUCGGGGGUUCGAAUCCCUCCGUCUCCG